GAGGGUGUAGCUCAGGGGUAGAGUGUGUGCUUAGCAUGCACACAGUCCUGGGUUCAAUCCUCAGUAUCUCCA
Molecule: transfer RNA, 72 nt
Filed under: Camelus dromedarius (Arabian camel)
Lineage: Eukaryota; Metazoa; Chordata; Mammalia; Artiodactyla; Camelidae
Also listed under: 1 other name
Rfam family: tRNA
About the family: Transfer RNA (tRNA) molecules are approximately 80 nucleotides in length. Their secondary structure includes four short double-helical elements and three loops (D, anti-codon, and T loops). Further hydrogen bonds mediate the characteristic L-shaped molecular structure. tRNAs have two regions of fundamental functional importance: the anti-codon, which is responsible for specific mRNA codon recognition, and the 3' end, to which the tRNAs corresponding amino acid is attached (by aminoacyl-tRNA synthetases). tRNAs cope with the degeneracy of the genetic code in two manners: having more than one tRNA (with a specific anti-codon) for a particular amino acid; and 'wobble' base-pairing, i.e. permitting non-standard base-pairing at the 3rd anti-codon position.
Source: Rfam by way of RNAcentral